GAGUGAAAUCUUGUAAUCCUUGAAGGACCACCAGUGGCGAAGGCGUCUCACCAGAACGGACCUGACGGCAAGGGACGAAAGCUAGGGGCACGAACCGGAUUAGAUACCCGGGUAGUCCUAGCCGUAAACGAUACUCGCUAGGUGUCGGCCACGGUGCGACCGUUGUCGGUGCCGUAGGGAAGCCGUGAAGCGAGCCACCUGGGAAGUACGGCCGCAAGGCUGAAACUUAAAGGAAUUGGCGGGGGAGCACUACAACGGGUGGAGCUUGCGGUUUAAUUGGAUUCAACGCCGGG
This 293-nucleotide ribosomal RNA is filed under the name uncultured archaeon. Its description in RNAcentral is "partial 16S ribosomal RNA". It matches the Rfam family "Archaeal small subunit ribosomal RNA", at positions 630 to 922 of the family's 1478-position model. The record is from RNAcentral.